This 450-nucleotide ribosomal RNA is filed under the name uncultured bacterium. RNAcentral describes it as "partial 16S ribosomal RNA". It matches the Rfam family "Bacterial small subunit ribosomal RNA", at positions 354 to 796 of the family's 1533-position model. The record is from RNAcentral.
GUGGGGAAUUUUGGACAAUGGGGGCAACCCUGAUCCAGCCAUGCCGCGUGCGGGAAGAAGGCCUUCGGGUUGUAAACCGCUUUUGUCAGGGAAGAAAUCCUUUGGGUUAAUACCUCGGAGGGAUGACGGUACCUGAAGAAUAAGCACCGGCUAACUACGUGCCAGCAGCCGCGGUAAUACGUAGGGUGCGAGCGUUAAUCGGAAUUACUGGGCGUAAAGCGUGCGCAGGCGGUUUUGUAAGACAGGCGUGAAAUCCCCGGGCUCAACCUGGGAAUUGCGCUUGUGACUGCAAGGCUGGAGUGCGGCAGAGGGGGAUGGAAUUCCGCGUGUAGCAGUGAAAUGCGUAGAUAUGCGGAGGAACACCGAUGGCGAAGGCAAUCCCCUGGGCCUGCACUGACGCUCAUGCACGAAAGCGUGGGGAGCAAACAGGAUUAGAUACCCCAGUAGUCC